CUCUCAUGUUCCUUCUGUUUCACUUGUUCUCUCUCCAAUUCCUCUCUUUUCUUUCUUUUUUCCUCAUGUAUUUUUUUUCUUUCUUUCUUUUUUUUUCUUCCUCUCUCUCUCUCUCCUGGUCUCUCUCGCUCUCUCUCUCUCUUCCAGCCCCAUUUUCACAUUCCUCUGUUUUCAGAGACAGGCUCCUCCCUUCUCCUCCUCCCUCCCUUCCUCCCUCCCUCUAUUCUCUCUCUCUCUCUGUCUGUAUCUGUGCAUGUGUGUUCAGUUGUUCAGUAGCAGUGUAUCUCUCCGUGGCAGGGGCAGCUUCAUUCUCUCCUGCAGGAUGUCGGGCCCUCGGACCAGCUCCAUACUGCUGCUGUUCACCAUCGCCUCCCUGCAGAACGCUCUGCUGGAGGCCAAGUGUGAAGCAGUUGGAGAGGAAGGAACGACAGGACGUCAGCACUUGGAUCCAUGGCAUGAACAGAUGAAGCAACUGAGCUCAACCUACACAGACGCAGCCUCUCACAGGCACACAUACCCUCUUUCUGCCAUGCAUGGGGGCGGAGCUGUGCGCCUUCGUCGUGACCUGCGUGACUCACUGCCUUAUGAAGCCCAGAUGAUGUCCUAUCCCACUGCUGACUUCAAGGGGCGGGGUAAUGAGCUGUACUACCAGCCAGAGGCGGUGAGGGCGCAGGGGCUGGGUCAGGCCCUCCAAAGGCUGAUGGAGAACGACCAGCGGCGGGAGCAGGAAGCAGCGUAUCUGGCAGGUCUACUGCGCCUCCUGAAUGAGGCGGAGAAUAAUGGCCAAGGGAAACAGGAGGAAGAGGAGGAGGAAGAGGAAGGAGACUUCCAGGGGCCAUACCCGCCAGACUAUGAUGAGACGGAGCAGACGGUCAGCAUGGCUAAGCCACAGGCCCUGCUGGACCCCCAGCUGGCCGAGGCUCUGCUCAACCGCUACAGACAGGAGAGGCUGCUUCAGGCUGGGCUUAACCCAACCUCCAACCGCCUCCCAGACAGAGAGCAGGAGAGGGACCAGGAGGUGCUCCGGUACCUGGUUGAGAAAAUUCUCUCCAGUCUGGCUCCAGGGAACCAGCCGAGCCCCUCCAACCGCCGAGCCAAACGGGACGUGAGUGCGGUGGCCAGCGUCGGACGGGGUGGAGCUUCCUUGAGACGAUCCAGACGCUCUGUGGACUCCGUCCCCGUCCCCUCGCCCAGCGCUGAGGCCUCACUGCUGCGGGUGAAGAGGCUGGGUGAUGAAGAGGAUGAUGAAGGUUUUGCUGCCCAGAGCAACAGAUCACCCCACGCUGGGCUGCAGAGGAUGAAACGCAUCGACACAGACAUGCCGCUCCCUCUGAAACACAGCCGCAAACGCCGGGCGGUGUCCUAUGACCCCAGUGUCAUCGCUCAGCACAUCCUACAGUACCUACCAGCAUAA
Long non-coding RNA from Pygocentrus nattereri (red-bellied piranha), 1414 nucleotides. The record is from Ensembl. NCBI's taxonomy places the organism in Eukaryota, Metazoa, Chordata, Actinopteri, Characiformes, Serrasalmidae.